This is a long non-coding RNA of Mya arenaria, 5063 nucleotides long. RefSeq lists it as uncharacterized. The transcript is spliced from 3 exons. The record is from RefSeq and is a predicted model, not a curated record. Lineage: Eukaryota; Metazoa; Mollusca; Bivalvia; Myida; Myidae.
AAAACCCAUGAGUACACCACAGCGAACAAAAUUGCUGGUUUGUAAAACCUUGGAAGAGGCUUUAAGGAAAAUCCAGGAGCUGGAAAUGCAAGAUAAUUUGUGCCUGACUCUAGUACGAAGAAUUUUGGGAAGACGAUUUGGCCUAAAAAGACCUGUAGCAGUUAACAAGCUAUAUACAAAAUGACCACCACCACUAUCACCCUAAAGUGUGUGCUUGGUGUCUGUCUACACGUGCUUGCUUCUGGAAUGUUGAAGAACAAACUGUGUUGAAACGCCAACUGGAGUUGGUCAUGGACCUUUGCCGCCCUUCAUCCAGAGCCUUCCACAGAGAUGGCAGAUAUAUCGCUGCCUGGACCAACAGUUGACCAUGCCGUUGAGUCCAUGAUAUCAGUAGCAGCCAUGAAAACAUCUACAGAAUUACAUCUGCGGCCGUGCCUAUUAAUGGAUACAUUCUGCACCACUUCCAUGUGUAAGAAUAGAACUUUCCAAGUCCUCAGCAUAAGCAUUUCUGUAUUUAAAACGAAAAAUAAUUUAAAAAAAAAAUAAAUAUAGUUUUAAAUGAUUAUAUACAGGCAAAGUAAAUUAUAUAAUUUGUUUCAUGAAUGUGUUUUUUUUUUAAUUGCUGUUAAAGCAACAGUGUGCACCAGAUGAUCAAAUUGCAAGUUUAUUAAGUUUAGCAGUUAUUUCAUAUUUUUCCAUUAAAAAAAAGAUUACUGGGUAUGUCUACCUAGUAGAAUUAAUUUCUUAUGCGUGAUUGGCUAGUCGAUGUUAUCACAUGAUAUAACCAAGUUAGGUGUAUAGCUUUAAUAUACCACUUGAUUGAAGUAAGCCUUCGUAGCACAGUUGAUACAACACUGGACUUCAAUUUCGGUGACACAUUUUUUUUACAUGUUUGUACUUUUUUUACAAUUAUGACAUAAAAGCGUAACACAUUCUUUUAAAUAAUUGUCCUGAGAUAUGUUACAGAAAAAAAACUUUUUUAGUUCCAAUCUGGUGUACAGUCCCUUUAAGGCCUUAUACCGUACUUGUAGACUUAUUGUUUAUGAUAGUCUGUUUAAUCAUUUUAUUGUAUAUGGGCAACAUUUUAUGUAACAUCACUUUAUGUAAAAAGUAAGCCUUCGUAGUGCAGUUGAUACAACACUGGACUUCAAUUUCGGUGACACAUUUUUUUUUUACAUGUUUGUACUUUUUUUACAAUUAUGACAUAAAAGCGUAACACAUUCUAUUAAAUAAUUGUCCUGAGAUAUGUUACAGAAAAAAAACUUUUUUAGUGCCAAUCUGGUGUACAGUCCCUUUAAGGCCUUAUACCGUACUUGUAGACUUAUUGUUUAUGAUAGUCUGUUUAAUCAUUUUAUUGUAUAUGGGCAACAUUUUAUGUAACAUCCUUGGCUUGCAGAGAAUCUGUGAUAUAAAAGACCUCUUUUGUGCUGCAUUGUGUCAUUGAUUUAUUGUAUUUUAUAUGUAUUAUGCCACUAUUGUAAAAACAAAUGGGCAUAUGUUUUAGCAUAUGUUUUCAAACAGACACAUUCAUAUUUCAAACAGACACAUUUAUAUUUUUGAAUAAUUUGAAAAUACAUUUUGUAGGUUGACUUUACACCAUGAAACAUUAAUGGUAGGUUAUAUUUGACCAGAACAUGACAAGUAUUGUUUUCGGAGUUUUUUGGUCGAAGGUGAAGGUAAUGGCUAACAGUGGUUAUUCUGCACAAUGACCCUUGAAUUCUUUGACCUAGGACCAUUAAUAUUUAGUGAUUGAUAUAUCAGUCCAACUCAUAUGUGAAAGGGACAUGAUGAAAUUGAGCAAGAGCUUAUUAGCAUUGCAAAUUAUUAUUUGUUCAUUUUUAGCUCGACUAUUCGAAGAAUAGGUGGGCUAUACUAUCAUUAACAAUUCUGCGUUUAAGUUUUCAUUUUAUGCAAUAAAAUCAAGAGUUUUUAUCCAAUGGUAAUCAAACUUGGUCAGACUAUUUGUCGGCAUGUUGAAGAUGUAUGAAUAUGGGUCAUCCCUGGUCAAAUUCUAGGUCACUAGGUCACAUCUUAGCGAAAAUAUUUCCAUGUCGUAAAUUCAACAUUUUUUUCAUAUCUUUAUGAAACUUGGUCAGAAUAUUUGUCUGCAUACUAUCUUGAAAGUUUUUUAAUAUGGGUCAUCCCGGGUCAAAUUCUAGGUCACUAGGUCAAAUCUUAGGAAAAUCAUUCCACAUCAUAAAUUGAACAAUUUUUGUCAAAUCUUUAUGAAACUUGGUCAGAAUAUUUGUCUGCAUAAUAUCUUAAAAGUUCUAUAAUAUGGGUCAUCCCCGGUCAAAACCUAGGUCACAAGGUCAAAUUUUAGAAGAAAGAAUCCCACAGUCAUAAAAAUUAAUUAAUUUUAGUCAAAUCUUUUUUAAACUUGGUCAGAAUAUUUGUCUACAUGUUGUCUUAAUCAUUUGUGAAUAUAGGUCACCUCAGAUCAAAAACUAGGUCACUAGGUCAAAUCUUAGGAAAUACUUUCCUGAUGUCAUAAAAAAAAUCUAUGCUUACCAAAGCUAUCCAUAUCAGUUAAUAACUAAAUUCAAUUGUUAUUUUAUAAACACACAUCCAAAUCAUGAAUUUCAGAUCUAACCAUAUUUUUCAAAAAUUUAAAUUUUAAUUAACUUUAAAAAUAUUUGUGUACAUGAAAUCUUAGAUGAUAAAGUGUGUCAUCUAGGGUCAAAAACUAGGUCUCUGGGACAGAUCUUAUUGGAAAAGCUGAUGUAUUUAUAAAAUGUUCGUUUUUCCUCACACAAAUGGAAUAGUUUCUGUUGAUCAGGUUAUUUGUAUGAAUGAUAUCUCCGAUAAAUAUAAAUAUGGGUCUUUUUGGUUAAAAAUACUAGGUCAUUAGCUCAAAUCCUAGGUUUGCAAAAUUGCAUUGUCAAAUAAAAAAUCAAGCUUUAUGCGGCGUUGCCGCGUUGGCGUCUUGUUAUUUUUUUAUUUUGACAGGCACAUUUUUAUAAUCUUAACCAAAUCAAACCUUGUUUUGUCACAUUGUGAUUCUUAUUCACUUUUUUUAUUUGAUUGUUUUAUUGCUUUUUACAGGCACAUAUCACACUAUUAUUGUAUUUACGUCCAAUUCCAAGAGGCGUAGUAGAGCGCACUGUUUUACGACAGCUCUUGUUAACCUGUAAAGUGAAACCUGGUUAUAAAAAUGACAUGACUGUGUCAUUGUGUUGGCAGGCCAGGAGGAGGGCAGCAUCAAAUACAUCUACAAACUUAGUAUACAAAGUAUUAUAGAAUUGCUUUCGGGGCCCAUAGGAUCAAGGUCACUAAAACAAAAAAUAUUGAAACUUAAUCGCACAACAAAGGCUUAAUUAAUUAGGUUUGUCUGUCAAUCAUUGAAAACUUGUUGUUUUUUUUGCAUUGCAGCAUUUCAUGCUUAAUUUUUAUUUUGUCUCUUUAUUGCAUAUUACCUUUAUCAUUAUUGUAUUCAUUUCUAAGACAAAGCAGCAUAUAGUUGAGGGCACUGCCCCAUGACAGCUCUUGUAUAUCCUAAAAAGAAUACAAUAGUGAUAUACCCUGAUAUAGGUAGUUUUGGUACAUUAUCACGGUUUUAAUUUUAGCUCUACUGGCCAAAGAUCAGAAUAUCUGAUGUGAUGGUAAUGUGUACGUAGUAUGUGCUUCCUAGCGCCUGUAAACAAUUGCUUGUGAACACCAUACAGUCUUUAGUUAUGAUUGUAUCUCAAUAAAACAGUAUUUAGAUAUCCAAUAGAGCUCGGUUCCUUUCGAAAACCAGUCAGAUCUGCACAUGCAUGCCUAGAUUAUGGGCCUUGAACAUCUGUGCGACUGUAAACAAUUGCUUGUGAACACGGUACAGUCUUCAGUUUUAAUUGUAUAUAGAUGAAACUUGUACAGUAUUAAGAUAUCAAUUUGAGCUUGGUUCCUUUCGAAAACCAGAUAUGCCCAUGCAUACCUAGAUUAUGGGCCUCAAAAGUAAAAAAAAUGCUAUUUUUAGCCAAGUCUACAUGAGCGAAGUCUAUUUUUAGACAAGUUUACAUGUAAUCUCACAAAUUCAUGUGAAAAAUUGUUCAAAUUAGGCCCCUGGGGUCAUUAUUGGCCACGCCACUGGGUUCACUGGUUUGGUAUACUAAAUUGGGAAAUGUUUGAAAAUCUUUAUGUCUGAAACAAUUAUGCAGACCCUUGUUAUUUUGAAUAAGGAUUAUUUUAUUGGUCUGCUACCAUGGUUGUUCAAAUUAUGCCCCUAGGGUCAAAACUGGCACUGCCCCCAGGGGUCACAAGUUUUUUAAGAAAUAUUUUCAAAAUCUUCUUGUUUCAAACCACAAGGCUCAUAUCUUUGAUAUUUGUUGUGGAGCAUUAUAUGUAGACCGUCUUGCAAAACAGUUGAAAUUAUGUGCCCUGGGCCGGGGCCACCAUCCAUUUUGUUACAAAAAUGAAAAUUUGACCAAUAGUACAGUUUUGUAGCAAAUUUCAUUCUCCUCAGAUGACCUUUACUUGGCACAUAUUAGAAUACUAGUAGUUCAUGCAACUAAUCUGCUUACAACACUUUCUGUUCUCAGAUGUUAAAUGUGCAACAUUUAAGCUAACUCAAACACAAAACGUGAACAAUAUGUUUGUUGGCUAUUACUCAUACAUACAUGCUCUGGAUCAAAAAUAACCACAUGAGCCAUGCCACUAGAGCAUAGGCACUCAUGGGCCUCUUGUUUUUUUUUAGAAAAAAAGCAUACUGACCAACCCUAUUUAUUUUAGAAGUUAGCUGAAACUAAGAACUUUUUUUUACCUUACUUUUAUAUUAGAUUGUAUAUUGCUAAGAUUUUUGCUUAAAGCUCCAUUUAAGGUAACUGUUCAUCUCAAAUGUAACAGCUUUUGCCUUCAAACUUUUAAAAUUUCAUUGAACCAGUGGGUUCAUCAUGAUGCACAUCUGUAAAUGUUUCUCCCUAAUAUGGGCUUUUAUGUAUGCAAACAGAACAUUGAACAAUUGGCUUUCUGUGUAAAGUAAACCCUGUCCAGAACAUUUGUCAAAUUGCUGUGUCAGCACUUGUUUGAAUGUAUUUAUUUUAUUUUCAUAUUAUGAUUUCAAAUAAAGUAUUUAAAAAUGUUGA